AGUGGGGAAUAUUGGACAAUGGGGGCAACCCUGAUCCAGCGAUGCCGCGUGUGCGAAGAAGGCCUGCGGGUUGUAAAGCACUUUGAGUGGGGAAGAAAGGCGUAUGUCGAAUAGGCAUACGAGUUGACGUUACCCACAGAACAAGCACCGGCUAACUCUGUGCCAGCAGCCGCGGUAAUACAGAGGGUGCAAGCGUUAAUCGGAAUUACUGGGCGUAAAGGGCGCGUAGGCGGAUGAAUAAGUUAGGUGUGAAAUCCCUGGGCUUAACCUGGGCAUGGCACUUAAUACUGUUUAUCUAGAGUAGAGUAGAGGGAAGUGGAAUUUCCGGUGUAGCGGUGAAAUGCGUAGAGAUCGGAAAGAACACCAGUGGCGAAGGCGGCUUCCUGGACUCAUACUGACGCUGAGGCGCGAAAGCGUGGGGAGCAAA
This 427-nucleotide ribosomal RNA is filed under the name uncultured Aquicella sp. Its description in RNAcentral is "bacterial SSU rRNA". It matches the Rfam family "Bacterial small subunit ribosomal RNA", at positions 353 to 772 of the family's 1533-position model. Lineage: Bacteria; Pseudomonadati; Pseudomonadota; Gammaproteobacteria; Legionellales; Coxiellaceae. The record is from RNAcentral.